Small RNA from Streptococcus pyogenes M1 GAS, 150 nucleotides. It matches the Rfam family "Streptococcus sRNA SSRC8". From Rfam's summary of the family: It is based on computationally predicted coordinates (RNAz). The record is from Rfam. Lineage: Bacteria; Bacillati; Bacillota; Bacilli; Lactobacillales; Streptococcaceae.
CAAACUGGCUUGCUUUUAUGGUCUUUAUGUCUGUUCCUUACUUUGCUCAACUCUUUAACUUUUGUUAAGAAAUGAUCAUCUGCCAGCUCAAUCUCAAAGAAAGGUCAGACUGUUAAAAGGGAUGAUUUGUUGUCUCUUUGCGCUUUGUUA